Molecule: RNA transcript, 1762 nt
Organism: Nycticebus coucang (slow loris)
Lineage: Eukaryota; Metazoa; Chordata; Mammalia; Primates; Lorisidae
Gene name: la-related protein 7-like
Exons: 1
Source: RefSeq, a predicted model, not a curated record
AUGGAAACUGAAAGAGGAAACCAAGAAAAGGCAAUGGAAGAAGAAAGCACUGAAAAGAAAAAAGGAAGUAGAAAAAAAGAAAAGAUCUCAAGUUAAACAGGUGCUUGCAGAUAUUGCAAAGCAAGUAGACUUUUGGUUUGGGGAUGCAAAUCUUCACAAGGACCAAUUUCUUUGAGAGCAGAUAGAAAAAUCUAGAGAUGGAUAUGUGGAUAUAUUACUUCUGGUGUCCUUCAACAAAAUGAAAAAAUUAACUACUGAUGGGAAGUUAAUAGCCAGAGCUUUGAAAAGUUCAGCUGUUGUAGAGCUGGAUUUAGAAGGCACCAGAAUCAGAAGGAAAAAGCCCCUGGGUGAAAGACCAGAGGUUGAGGAUGAGUGGACAGCGUAUGUGGAGUUACUUCCUAAAAAUGUUAAUCACAGCUGGAUUGAAAGAGUAUUUGGGAAAUGUGGCAAUGUUGUUUACAUAAGUAUACCACAUUACAAGUCUACUGGAGAUCCGAAGGGAUUUGCCUUUGUGGAAUUUGAAACAAAAGAACAAGCAGCAAAAGCUAUUGAGUUUCUUAAAAACCCACCAGAAGAAGCACGGAGAAAAUCUGGCAUAUUUCCUAAGACAGUAAAAAAUAAUCUCAUUCCUUCCUUAAGAGCAGCUGAAGAAAAGAAAAAAGAAGAAAAUAGGCCAAAUGAAGAAAAAGGACAAUGUCCAGGUAGGAGAGUUCAAUAUUGACUCAAGCAAUGUGAGCGUCUGUAAAAUGAAAAGAUUGAGAACCACGUCUGAGAGCUCUGAAGCAGAAACUACUGAGCCUCCAAAGCAACCCUCCAAGAAAAAGAAAAAAAGAGAAAGAGUCGAAGUAUUUAGCACACCUGAGGUCAGCUCUUCCUGAGGGAAGAGGAAGAGAAGCAGCUCUGAAGAUGCAGAAGCCCUAACUCCCAGAUCAAAAGUAAACCAAAUGGCUCAGAAAGACACGGUUCAAAAAGAAGCUUCAAAAGUUUCUAAAGAAAACAGAGAUUUAGAAGUCUCUGUUGAAGAGAAAAAGGAUACUACAGACAUAAAAGAUAGCUCUCUCUUAAAAGCAAAAAGGAAACAUAAGAAAAAACAUAACGAGUGACAUAACAUGGGAGAAGUUAUACCAUUGAGAGUAUUGUCAAAGAGUGAAUGGAUGGAUUUGAAAAAAGAGUAUUUAGCCCUACAAAAAGCUAGCAUGGCUUCUUUGAAAAAAACAAUAUCCCAAAUAAAAUCGGAGUCAAAAACGGAAACCGGUGGUGGGGUACCUCCUAAUUCUGAAACAAAAGAUGAAAAAAACAACAGUAAAGAGUACCCCCCCCCCGCCCUCCAGGAGAAAGUUAAUACAAAUACAAUGGAACCGCAAUUUGUGAGUGGAGUGACUGUGAAGAUCGUUAGCACUGAGCCUCUACCUGGCAGGAAACAAGUCCGGGCUACUUUGGCGGCCAUCUCCGAAGUUGUUUAUGUUGAUUUGCUAGAAGGAGAUACAGAAUGCCAUGCUCGAUUUAAAACUCCUGAGGAUGCUCAAGCAAUAAUAAGUGCACAUACGGAAAUUAAAAGAAAACACUGCUGGAAAAUUGAGAUCCUUUCUGGUGAUCACGAACAAAGGUACUGGCAGAAGAUUUUGGUUGUAGACAGGCCAAGCUUAGUCAGCCUCAGGAAAAGAAAAGAGGCGCUGAAAAGUUAAUCACCAAAGCAGAAAAGAUUCGACUGGCAAAGACUCAACAAGCAAGUAAACACAUAAGAUUUUCUGAAUAUGAUUAA